This 905-nucleotide ribosomal RNA is filed under the name Bacillus atrophaeus. RNAcentral's name for it is "bacterial SSU rRNA". It matches the Rfam family "Bacterial small subunit ribosomal RNA", at positions 56 to 941 of the family's 1533-position model. Lineage: Bacteria; Bacillati; Bacillota; Bacilli; Caryophanales; Bacillaceae. The record is from RNAcentral.
UGCAAGUCGAGCGGACAGAUGGGAGCUUGCUCCCUGAUGUUAGCGGCGGACGGGUGAGUAACACGUGGGUAACCUGCCUGUAAGACUGGGAUAACUCCGGGAAACCGGGGCUAAUACCGGAUGCUUGUUUGAACCGCAUGGUUCAAACAUAAAAGGUGGCUUCGGCUACCACUUACAGAUGGACCCGCGGCGCAUUAGCUAGUUGGUGAGGUAACGGCUCACCAAGGCGACGAUGCGUAGCCGACCUGAGAGGGUGAUCGGCCACACUGGGACUGAGACACGGCCCAGACUCCUACGGGAGGCAGCAGUAGGGAAUCUUCCGCAAUGGACGAAAGUCUGACGGAGCAACGCCGCGUGAGUGAUGAAGGUUUUCGGAUCGUAAAGCUCUGUUGUUAGGGAAGAACAAGUGCCGUUCAAAUAGGGCGGCACCUUGACGGUACCUAACCAGAAAGCCACGGCUAACUACGUGCCAGCAGCCGCGGUAAUACGUAGGUGGCAAGCGUUGUCCGGAAUUAUUGGGCGUAAAGGGCUCGCAGGCGGUUUCUUAAGUCUGAUGUGAAAGCCCCCGGCUCAACCGGGGAGGGUCAUUGGAAACUGGGGAACUUGAGUGCAGAAGAGGAGAGUGGAAUUCCACGUGUAGCGGUGAAAUGCGUAGAGAUGUGGAGGAACACCAGUGGCGAAGGCGACUCUCUGGUCUGUAACUGACGCUGAGGAGCGAAAGCGUGGGGAGCGAACAGGAUUAGAUACCCUGGUAGUCCACGCCGUAAACGAUGAGUGCUAAGUGUUAGGGGGUUUCCGCCCCUCAGUGCUGCAGCUAACGCAUUAAGCACUCCGCCUGGGGAGUACGGUCGCAAGACUGAAACUCAAAGGAAUUGACGGGGGGCCCGCACAAGCGGUGNAGCAUG